Molecule: long non-coding RNA, 999 nt
Organism: Eubalaena glacialis (North Atlantic right whale)
Lineage: Eukaryota; Metazoa; Chordata; Mammalia; Artiodactyla; Balaenidae
Exons: 3
Source: RefSeq, a predicted model, not a curated record
UGGAGAGUGACCUGUGCUUGCACACAGGCUUUUUGGUGGCGGCAGCAGCAGCCUUAGCGUCUCAUGCCCGUGUCUGGGGUCCGCGCUGAGAGCCGCGGCUCGCGCCCGUCUCUGGAGCUCGUUUAGGCGGCGCUCUGAAUCCCCUCUCCUCGCGCACCAGGAAACAAAGAGGCAAGAAAAAGUCUCUUGCCUCUUCGGCAGGUCCAGACUUUUCCCCGGACUCCCUCCCGGCUAGCUGCGGCGCACUAGCCCCCUUCAGGCUGUGUUCAUGCCGCCAACCCCAGUCCUCUCCCUGGGAUCCGACCGAAGCCCGAGCCUCAGCUCCCAGCCCCCGCCCGCCCCGGCGGCUGAGCAGACAAGCCUCUCGGGCUGAUGCCUGGUGCUGUGGAAGAUGCUGGCAUUGCAUAUUGAAGAAAACCAAACACCAUUGGUACCGCAAGAAGCUUACAACAGGUGGAAACUAAGAAGAAUCUGAAAAGUUGAGUCAACACAAUUUCCCCAGAGGCAAAGUGGAAGAGGAAAAGAGUCCCACGGCCAUGUGUAAUAACAGAGAGAAGACCAACUUGCUCAGCAGAUCAGUUGACCUCUGGUGACCCAGCCUUCUAGGAUUAUUCCCUAUCUCAAGUUCCGGAAUCGGUUAGUCAUAUGGCGUCUAGACACAUGGAGGUUGUUUAAGAAAGACCUUUGAUAAUGACAUAAUGCUGAGCCAACUAAAUACCCCCUGCUCCCUCUAAAAGCUGGAAGAAUGGCUACAUUUGGCAAUUUCUUUUUUUUUUCAAUUUUUAAUUUUUAAAAUUUGUUUCAAAGUUAAACCCAAGACACAUUGACUUCAUAGGAAGUCCACUGAGAAAUGUUUUUCUAGGCUGAACACCUGUUUCCCCUCAGUCUCCCUCAACAGAGCAUGUACAUGUUAAUUACUUUCAUUUUCCAAUCACUGCUGUCCCACCACUAUACCAAGAUCACCUAAACUGUGUGUGUUGUAUUCUGAAUGUUCUUAGU